Molecule: long non-coding RNA, 1008 nt
Organism: Canis lupus familiaris (dog)
Lineage: Eukaryota; Metazoa; Chordata; Mammalia; Carnivora; Canidae
Exons: 3
Source: RefSeq, a predicted model, not a curated record
AGGCCUGGCUUGGCUGCUCCUGAUGUCUCUGCAAAUGGUGGUUAUUAUUAUUGGUGCCUUCUGCAGGGUGUGAGCUGGUUCAGGGAGGGGGGGGCCCUCCAGGACCCGCGGGGAGGCUGCACACGGACUCUUGGACACACCCGGGUGUCCCAGGGAAGGGCCCAGGCUGGGGCGGACCUGGAGCCUCACUCCCUCCUCACAGGCCUGACUACUGGGGGGAUGGGGCGGUGGGGGAGCUUCAAUGUUUGAUGACUCAGUUCCAGCUUUUUUAUUUCGGAGAGUCUGCUGAGGCGGGAGCGGGGCUGGAUUACCAUGAAGUGCUCCUAAUUUGCACAGAGAGAUAAGGAGCUCAUCAUCACGGAGAGAGGGGGACUGUUAUUUCCAAGCAGCUGCUGCGAGCUGGUCCUAGAUGAACAAACUGAGGCCCAAGAGGACUUGGGGGCACACAGAACAGGAAUGGUUGGGAAGGGAUUGGAAGCAAGUCUGGCUGACGGCGGCUCCCUGGCUCUGGACCACUGGGGAUGCCCGUGGGUCUAUCUGCUCUGGGGAAGAGCCGUGAGCAAGGGCAAACGUGCUGCUGGCCUGCUCAGACCUUCAGCAACCUGGGGCAGUCCUCGUCACGGUCUGGACUGUGAUGCCGAGUGUGAACUCAUCACAUCUCCCGGAGGACUUUGGAGAGACUCUCAACGGACAAGUGACAACGCCAAGAACCAACAACAGCAGAGGCGAUUUUCAUGUCACGACGCAAACAUGCAGCCUAGAUUCUGGAAACAGAUACUCACGAAGGAAGAAAUGUUAGUGAAGAUUGAAGAAGUACGACGCUGGACAAGAAGGCGCAUCCACGAGCAAAGAGAAAUGUAGAAUUCUAUGGCCGAAGGACUUGAAGACGAGUGCGAAGGUACAAGCCACAAGAUAAAAACAGUUAUUGGCACAGCAUUGCUGUGAAUCUGUAUGUACCUUAAAUGUGUUCAAAUACUUUGCAUUCUGCAAUAAAGUCUUUUAAGAAUU